Molecule: non-coding RNA, 480 nt
Organism: Poecilia reticulata (guppy)
Lineage: Eukaryota; Metazoa; Chordata; Actinopteri; Cyprinodontiformes; Poeciliidae
Source: RefSeq, a predicted model, not a curated record
AUUCCACCAACAUACAGGGAGACAGUAAGAACUUGGAUUGUUCCCAGUUUUACUCUUUUGAAAAAGAAGCAGGCCUCAUAAUGAAGUUUAAAGUUAAUUACCAUAGACGUUUGAAAAGAGGAACAUGAACUUGCUUAGGUUUCCGGAUUGAGAGUUUGACUGGAGGUCCUGGGAUGCUGAUGACAGAGACGAAAUGGAAAAGUUUUAAGUUUUGUCCUUUCCCUGUAGAAGAAUGGAGUAGCAGCUCAGUACCAGAGAGGUUGUUGUCAGAUGGAGGUAGCUGAGGAGGGGGAAAGAAAGGCGAAACGGCUUUGUUUUCUGUCUGUAAGAGUUAAAGAAUUUGCUUAGGCAGAGAGCCAGCACGGAGGACAGCCGGCUGACUGCACCUCCGCACGGUUCUGCCGGGUUCUGCUGCAGAGGUCGGCUAAGUCUGCUGAAAUCGAAUCCCGCGUCUGCUGCCCGGAAUAACAACGUGGCAGA